This 31-nucleotide non-coding RNA is filed under the name Rattus norvegicus (Norway rat). The record is from RNAcentral. Lineage: Eukaryota; Metazoa; Chordata; Mammalia; Rodentia; Muridae.
UCUCUAGUCGUUUUGGCUGCAGGUCUGCCUU